RNAcentral lists this ribosomal RNA (301 nucleotides) under uncultured bacterium. RNAcentral's name for it is "partial 16S ribosomal RNA". It matches the Rfam family "Bacterial small subunit ribosomal RNA", at positions 509 to 807 of the family's 1533-position model. The record is from RNAcentral.
CAGCAGCCACGGUAAUACGUAGGGUGCGAGCGUUAAUCGGAAUUACUGGGCGUAAAGCGUGCGCAGGCGGUGAUGUAAGACAGUUGUGAAAUCCCCGGGCUCAACCUGGGAACUGCAUCUGUGACUGCAUCGCUGGAGUGCGGCAGAGGGGGAUGGAAUUCCGCGUGUAGCAGUGAAAUGCGUAGAUAUGCGGAGGAACACCGAUGGCGAAGGCAAUCCCCUGGGCCUGCACUGACGCUCAUGCACGAAAGCGUGGGGAGCAAACAGGAUUAGAUACCCGCGUAGUCCCUGUCUCUUAUAC